AAAGCUUGCUUUUGAUGGGCGUCGACCGGCGCACGGGUGAGUAACGCGUAUCCAACCUGCCCAUCACUUGGGAAUAACCUUGCGAAAGUAAGACUAAUGCCCAAUGAUAUCCCACGAAGGCAUCCGAAUGGGAUUAAAGAUUUAUCGGUGAUGGAUGGGGAUGCGUCUGAUUAGCUUGUUGGCGGGGUAACGGCCCACCAAGGCAACGAUCAGUAGGGGUUCUGAGAGGAAGGUCCCCCACAUUGGAACUGAGACACGGUCCAAACUCCUACGGGAGGCAGCAGUGAGGAAUAUUGGUCAAUGGGCGAGAGCCUGAACCAGCCAAGUAGCGUGCAGGAUGACGGCCCUAUGGGUUGUAAACUGCUUUUAUAAGGGAAUAAAGUGAGUCUCGUGAGACUUUUUGCAUGUACCUUAUGAAUAAGGACCGGCUAAUUCCGUGCCAGCAGCCGCGGUAAUACGGAAGGUCCGGGCGUUAUCCGGAUUUAUUGGGUUUAAAGGGAGCGUAGGCCGGAGAUUAAGCGUGUUGUGAAAUGUAGAGGCUCAACCUCUGCACUGCAGCGCGAACUGGUCUUCUUGAGUACGCACAACGUGGGCGGAAUUCGUGGUGUAGCGGUGAAAUGCUUAGAUAUCACGAAGAACUCCGAUUGCGAAGGCAGCUCACGGGAGCGCAACUGACGCUGAAGCUCGAAAGUGCGGGUAUCGAACAGGAUUAGAUACCCUGGUAGUCCGCACGGUAAACGAUGGAUGCCCGCUGUUGGUCUGAAUAGGUCAGCGGCCAAGCGAAAGCAUUAAGCAUCCCACCUGGGGAGUACGCCGGCAA
This 820-nucleotide ribosomal RNA is filed under the name uncultured bacterium. RNAcentral describes it as "bacterial SSU rRNA". It matches the Rfam family "Bacterial small subunit ribosomal RNA", at positions 69 to 891 of the family's 1533-position model. The record is from RNAcentral.